CUGGGCAACAAGAGUGAAACUCCGUCUCAGACAAACAAACAAACAAACAAACCUCCAAAAAACCAAUGUCAAUUUAUUGUGAUAAUUAACAUGUCUCUUAUGGGCAACAUUGUCCUUUUUUAGCCUUUGCCCUCAAAUAAAAAAAUUGUUAUGUAGCAAAAACAACCAUUUCCAGAUGAUGCAAGAGUUCAAAAUGCUGGCCUGAAGAAGUCUAUGAAAAUGUCAAGUCAUGCCUUUGCGAGGAGAUAACUACUUGGCAUAUACCUUUCCCUGAAUGAUAAAGAAGGAAAGAAAAAAUGUACUUCCAGUAAACAUAUUCAUUAGCCACAGAGAGCUGCAUAUAAACAUGAUGCUUGGAAAACAAAUGCUCUGCAGUAAAUGGGAAUUGAGAAAAUAGGUAAUAAGUUGCAAAUCUGAAAAUCAUUUCUUUAUUUCAAUGUAAGGUAAGUUUAUAAACAGUCAGACCAAAAGGUCUGCUUUUAAAGUUUUGCAAAUGCUGGUCAGAUUGAUUAGUCCUUUUUUGAAUUUUUUUUUUUUUUUUUGAGACGGAGUCUCGCUCUGUCGCCCAGGCUGGAGUGCAGUUUUUUAAUCCUAAAGCUUUUUAAUUUAAGGCUUUUUAAUUUUCAGUUUGCUUACUCCAUUCUUUUGUAAAAGAAAAAAAUCACUUUAGAUUAAAUGAAAUUGUAAUUAAGGCUUCUACUUCCAUUUCUCACCUUACGAGCUUAUCUUCUGGAUCCCCCACUUAAAAAACAAAGUUCCCUUUUCAUUUAAAAAUUAAAGAAACUCCUGGGUUAGUACUUAACACAAACAAACUAAUAAUUACCAUGUAAUAGAAGCAACAGGACAAGCUCACAGUAAUAUUACAAUGCAGGAGGUAAAAACUUGGGCAACAUAGAAAGAAGGCUCCGUUUCUUAGUCUGUAAAUGGGGACAAUAAAUAGCUGCCUCAUAAGGCUGAUGCUGGGAUCAGUCAAAUGAGAUCAUGCAAAGCACCCAGCACUGGCUAACACUCAAUAAAAAAAUAGCCAUUAUGAUCAUUAGGAAGAUAUAGGAAGAGACUUUUGUCAUUGUCACAGUUUAAUCUUGAAAAGGAACUUACUGUAUGGUAGCAUUCUGAGUCAGUUACAAGAGAAAGUAACAAGUGACCUGCAUUGCUGAGGAUCCUGCCUCCUCCAAGCUACCCUGCUACAUUGUUAAAACACCCUGGGGGAGAAAAGUAUCCUAUUCAGCCAAUGUUAAACUGUUUCCUUUUCUGAAAGUUAGAAAUAGAUGAAAAUAGCAUAAGAAAUAACUCUGUAUAUAGUAAGUUCUGGGUAAGACAAUAUUGUGGUAAGUGAACUAAACAAAGAUUAAUCUGAAAUUGGACUCUGAUCCCCAAGUGAACCAGCCAGUGUAGCCCAGUCCUUACUGGACCUGAGGAGGAAAAACAAGCCUGUGUCUAUCUCAAGCGUGAUCUGGCUAGAUAUGAUCUAAACUUUGAAAAGUGCCUAAGCAUGUUUCAGAUGCAUAUUAUGUGUUAAAUACUAAGCAGGGAGCUCUGAGCUGGGGCAGUGCACCCUGAUGCUGAGGAACUGACAUAGGAAAAUGAACACCUAGCAUUGUAAUUUGGCCUUUUGCUAUUUAUUUAUUUAUUUAUUUAUUUAUUUUGAGACGGAGUCUCUCUCUGUGGCCCAGGUUAGAGUGCAGUGGUGCAAUCUCGGCUCACUGCAACCUCCGGCUCCUGGUUCGAGCGAUUCUCCUGCUUCAGCCUCCUCAGUACCUGGGAUUCCAGGCACACGCCCCCACGCCCAGCUGAUUUUUGUAUUUUUAGUAGAGAUGGGGUUUCACCAUGUUGGCCAGGCUGGUCUCGAACUCCUGACCUGAGGUGAUCCACCUGCCUCGGCCUCCCAAAUUGCUGAGAUUACAGGCAUGAGCCACCACGCCCAGCCUAUUCUCUCAUUUUAGUCAGACAAGUUUUCUUUUCUGUUAGAUCUCUCCCCAAUAAUUGCAAAAACCAACCAAAUAAAUAAGUAUGGGAGAGAGGUGGUUAUUUAUAUUAUGAAAGCAUUCUUCAGUUUAAUUCAUUGCAGAAUCUAAGAUCCUUUCCUCCACAGUGUUAAAAUCCAUAGCCCUCUCAAUUACUCUUCCACGCUUUGAGGAAAAGGAAGACAGGGAGGAGAGAUCUCCAAUGGAAAUUUCCUUGUUAAUAACAUCUUAUGUUUCUCUAAAUGUUUUACAGUUUCAAAGCACUUUCAGACUCACUCUGGUAUGUUAGUUAAGCCUUGUGCAAGAUACCAUAAAUCAUAUUAUACUCAAUUAAGAGGUGAGAAAAGACAAGGCUCAGAGGUGAAGCAAAUAUAAAUAGUAGUAAUUAGUUUUAUAUAUAUAUAUAACUAAUAUAUAUAACAUUCAUAUAUAUAUAUAUAUAUAUAUAGAGAGAGAGAGAGAGAGAGAGAGAGAGAGAGAGAGAGAGAGGGCGCAAUUGGUACAUGUGAGACCUGAAGCCAAGAUUUUUAAACUAAGUCCAGUGGCCAAGAAGCUGAAGCAAGUAGCUCACACUCACUGCCUUGGUGUUGCUGUUUUUCCUCCCUUCCGUGAUUUGGUUCUAAGCAUCUUCCCUUUUUUUUCUCAGUUAAUUCUGAUUCAUGACUUCCCUCAUGUAAUUAAUAAAUGGGAAAGACUUGAGUGAACAAAUAUUCAGCCAACUAGUAUUUAUUGAGCAACAACUAGAAACCAGAACUUUGAAGGGUUUUAAACAAAGGAAAUGGAAUCUCUUUGUCAUUUAAAAGGCCACAAUAAAACAAAUAAAAGUAAAAAAUAAAAAAGACCAUAGUGAGGAGGGUGCAGUGGCUCACGCCUGUAAUCCCAGCACGUUGGGAGGCUGAGGUGGGCAGAUCGCCUGAGCUCAGGAGUUCGAGACCAGCCUGGGCAACAUGGUGAAACUCCACCUCUACUAAAAAAAUCCACAAAUUAACCAGGCAUGGUGGCAUGCAACUGUGGUGGUUACAGGUACUCAGGAGGCUGAGGCCGGAGAAUCCCUUGAGCCUGGGAAAUGGAGGCUGCAGUGAGCUGAAACAGCACCAUUGCACUCUAGCCUGUGCAACCAAGCCAGGAUUAAUAACUUUAUUGAUGUGAACCAAUUAUCCAAAAAUAAUAAUCACAUAUUAGCCAUAGCGGACUCCCCAAUAGCAGAAAUCCCAUUAUAUUUUAGUGCUGUGGCCCCAGCAUCCAGCUGCGCUGUUACUUAGCAUGAGAUCCACAUGAAAACCAUUUCGCAACUAUUAGCCAUUGCCAGUAUUAAUACUUUCCGGAAGGUGGCACAAAGUGGGGGAUGUUAUAGACAGCUUCAAAGAAACGUUUAAGCUAGAGUUGACUCUUUAAAUAAUACAAGCCAUCCCCAACCAAAGAUUAAAAAUUUAAAUACAAAAAAAAAAAAAGGAAAUUUGCCUACCCCCCAUUUGUGAAAACAAAGAAAAAAAAAACAGUUAACGUCUUAACUUUUCUAGGCCUUCACUCUCGCCUCUCCCCGCG
Molecule: long non-coding RNA, 3509 nt
Filed under: Homo sapiens (human)
Lineage: Eukaryota; Metazoa; Chordata; Mammalia; Primates; Hominidae
Description: HSALNT0193193
Source: RNAcentral